AUUGAACGCUGGCGGCAGGCCUAACACAUGCAAGUCGAACGAGUGGCGGACGGGUGAGUAAUAUGUGGGAAACUGCCCGAUGGCGGGGGGUAACUACUGGAAAAGGUAGCUAAAACCGCAUAGCACCGGAUGUGCCCAGAUGGGAUGAGCUUGUAGGUGGGGUAAGGGCUCACCUAGGCGACGACCACUAGCUGGUCUGAGAGGAUGACCAGCCACACGGGAGAUGAGACACGGUCCAGACUCCUACGGGAGGCAGCAGUGGGGAAUAUUGCACAAUGGGCGCAAGCCUGAUGCAGCCAGGCCGCGUGUAUGAAGAAGGCCUUCGGGUUGUAAAGUACUUUCAGCGGGGAGGCGUUACCCGCAGAAGAAGCACCGGCUAACUCCGUGCCAGCAGCCGCGGUAAUAC
Molecule: ribosomal RNA, 406 nt
Filed under: uncultured bacterium
Lineage: Bacteria
Description: partial 16S ribosomal RNA
Rfam family: Bacterial small subunit ribosomal RNA
Source: RNAcentral